CCGCCCUAGUUCUGACCGUAAACGAUGCCAACUAGCGAUCCGCCGAUGGAAACACCAGUUGCCACAGUGGGGAGCUUCCCGGAAACGAAAGUCUUCCGGUUCCGGGGGAAGUAUGGUUGCAAAGCUGAAACUUAAAGGAAUUGACGGAAGGGCACCACCAGAAGUGGAGCUUGCGGCUUAAUUUGACUCAACACGGGGAAACUCACCCAGGCAGGACAUUGUGAGGAUUGACAGAUUGAUAGCUCUUUCAUGAUUCAAUGGAUGGUGGUGCAUGGCCGUUCUUAGUUCGUGGAGCGAUUUGUCUGGUUUAUUCCGAUAACGAGCGAGACUCUGGCCUACUAACUAGUCCGAGCAUUGUCACUGUGCUCGCGACUUCUUAUAGGGAUUCGUGGUGUUCAGCCACAAGAAAUUGAGCAAUAACAGGUCUGUGAUGCCCUUAUAUGUCCGGGGCUGCACGCGUGCUACACUGGCAAAAUCAGCGUGCUUGUGCUCUGCCGAAAGGCUUGGGUAAACCCUUGAAAAUUUGCCGUGAUUGGGAUCGGAGCUUGCAAUUAUUCUCCGUGAACGAGGAAUUUCUAGUAAGUGCGAGUCAUCAACUCGCGUUGAUUACGUCCCUGCCCUUUGUA
RNAcentral lists this ribosomal RNA (626 nucleotides) under Pratylenchus delattrei. RNAcentral's name for it is "SSU rRNA". It matches the Rfam family "Eukaryotic small subunit ribosomal RNA", at positions 1015 to 1664 of the family's 1831-position model. The record is from RNAcentral. Lineage: Eukaryota; Metazoa; Nematoda; Chromadorea; Rhabditida; Pratylenchidae.